This 45-nucleotide non-coding RNA is filed under the name Marinovum algicola. RNAcentral's name for it is "Guanidine-II sequence". It matches the Rfam family "Guanidine-II riboswitch aptamer (mini-ykkC)". From Rfam's summary of the family: Simpler in structure and has fewer highly conserved nucleotide positions than the ykkC-yxkD leader. Despite this each of its two stem-loop structures directly bind free guanidine. Lineage: Bacteria; Pseudomonadati; Pseudomonadota; Alphaproteobacteria; Rhodobacterales; Roseobacteraceae. The record is from Rfam by way of RNAcentral.
GCGAGGACGACCUCCCCAGAACGGACAAUUUCCGGGACGACCCGG